Molecule: ribosomal RNA, 253 nt
Filed under: uncultured bacterium
Lineage: Bacteria
Description: partial 16S ribosomal RNA
Rfam family: Bacterial small subunit ribosomal RNA
Source: RNAcentral
UACAGAGGGUGCAAGCGUUGUUCGGAAUUAUUGGGCGUAAAGCGCGUGUAGGCGGCUCAGCAAGUCGGGUGUGAAAGCCCUCGGCUUAACCGAGGAAGUGCGCCUGAAACUACUGAGCUUGAGUACCGGAGAGGGUGGCGGAAUUCCCGGUGUAGAGGUGAAAUUCGUAGAUAUCGGGAGGAACACCAGUGGCGAAGGCGGCCACCUGGACGGCUACUGACGCUGAGGCGCGAAAGCGUGGGGAGCAAACAGG